AAUCACAUGUGAAGUUGAUGUAUA
This 24-nucleotide non-coding RNA is filed under the name Arabidopsis thaliana (thale cress). Lineage: Eukaryota; Viridiplantae; Streptophyta; Magnoliopsida; Brassicales; Brassicaceae. The record is from RNAcentral.